Molecule: unclassified non-coding RNA, 251 nt
Filed under: Hevea brasiliensis (rubber tree)
Lineage: Eukaryota; Viridiplantae; Streptophyta; Magnoliopsida; Malpighiales; Euphorbiaceae
Source: RNAcentral
AGCAUUUCUGCAGAAGGAGAUGCUACUUCUCUCAGAAAUUUGCAGGUAUUUUCGCAAUGUCUUUCCUCUUCAUUGUUUAUUUAGUAGCGCUUCGCCCCUUCCUAUACUAUAAGUGCCGUUAUUUACCCUUACGCAUUGUAGGAGAGUGCAGGGUAAUUUGAAACCUUCUGGCGUGAUUUAUGCAGGGUAAGAGAGUGCAGAAAUGUGUGGAAACUCUUGAUGUGCUGAAGAUAUCCAAUGCAAAAGUAAAG